AUGAGGGUGCAAGAGAGCUAUUGGUACAAUAAAGAAAGGAAAAGUUGUACGCCACUACAUCACUACGCUGGGUGCUAGCCAACAUGAUAACAGUACUUACAAGAUAACAAUAACAAUAUAAAAAUGAUUAAGUGAAGGAAUGGUGAGGAUUGGAAAGCAGAUGAGUGUACAAGUGAGAGGAAGAUUGAAGAAGAAAGCAGUAAAAUGCAGUUGGGUCCUUAAUGCACUCCUAAAGAAUAGAUUGAGAAGUUUAAGGAUGUUGAGAGUUUGAGAAAUGCUGGAGGUAUCAUCAUCUCAGCUUCUGAUUUUUAAAACUAUCCAUCAUGGAACCUUGAAUUUUUUUAUUAUUUAAAUUUUUAUUUAUAUACAAUAAGGUCCGGAUAGUAUAGGUAUAAUUUUUAAUUAAAUUCUUAAAUCUUUGAAUUUUAUGUCAAUUUCAUUUGACGUUAAUCGGUCAUUGUUUGUAGAUUGCCAAUAAUCAAAGUGAUUAAUCACUAAUUGGAAAUAUUUAAAGUGUAAUUUUCUAUA
Molecule: small RNA, 528 nt
Filed under: Malus domestica (apple)
Lineage: Eukaryota; Viridiplantae; Streptophyta; Magnoliopsida; Rosales; Rosaceae
Description: sRNA MD12G0179200
Source: RNAcentral